AGUUUAUCCAUUCCCGUUUUGGUUUCGCAGCUGUCAUCCGGUCCCAACGCCAGAAUAGGAGAAAAACCUGCAGGCUAAGAGAGAAGGGAGGGCUGGGCCUGAGGUUCAGUCUUGGUCAUCUCCGACUGGCGGCGCUAGGAUUUCCCCCUUCCUGUGUCUUGAUGGGUUCCUCCAACACUCACUUUGUAUCGAUAAACGACCCUGCAGUUCUUCACGACCUGCAUUGCGCUGGCAGUCCUGAGUGAAGAACUCUCCUCUCAUCCCAGAGAUGGGAAACCUGGAUCUGAGACUGCCAGCUAGCUGCGGCCUCCUAGUCUGUAAAGCGAAGGGAGACCAGGACGCUCCCAAGGACCCGGCUUAUCGCCCCUCCCUUUCCUUCCCGGGGACCCAGAACAGACCACAAGACGGAGGGUGGCCGCUGGAGGUCGCCGUGGCCCCGCGAUACCACCAACCGACAGAAAUGGAGAACAGUUGAUUCAGAUUCAGCUGAUAUUCUCAGGUCUGGAGCGGGCCUGAGCGCUUUAAUUAGCCCGGGGCUAAUGUCCUCACCCAUCUUUGUUUAUAGAACGUUGAAACUCCAGUACUGUUGCACCAAGAAGUUUCCGGUCCCGGUACAGAUCAGUGAGGAAGAGGCUAUUGACAAGUGUGGAUUUGCCCAGGCCAGACUCUCCUGAGAGGAGAGAGGACAGAGGCACCAAAUCAGAAGGGACCCUUCUCUGGGCUGUCUGAUAGUCUGCAGAGACACAGCUGCUUCCGUGCUCUAGGAGAGAGGGACUCCUUGGAGAUCUGAUCUCACUAGUAGUCGUAAUUCUUUGGAUGGGCUCAGUUUGUACUGCUUCAUCCUUUGGAGAAUCCCAAAGAAGUACCUGAAAGGAAUCUGUGGAUUUGUCUUUGGAGUUAUAUCACCAAGCCUUUGGCAAGUUUUUAACAAAACUGGGAUUUCCUUGUACAUAGAGAAGGCUCCAGACCCUCCUUUACUCUCCCGAGAUUCUAGAAAUUCUCAGGACUCAUCCAGAGAAGGAAUCAGCCAGAAGAUCCUAUGAAGACAAGAUCAAACCAAACACGCUGUGUUCGCCCCAGUUUUAAUAAGAAAUCUGACUGAAAACAAAUGGUUGAAUGUGCUGCUAACAGAGAGGGCCAAACGAUGAUGUCUAUUGUGGCAGCUGAACAAAGUGAGACUUACAGAACUGGAACUGCUGCCCUGACAGCAACUGAAGCAGAAAGAGAAGAAAGGAGCUUACAACCAGGACACUCAAACUCAGGCCAGGAGUCCGUCUAUGAUCCAAUUCCAAUCAGUCUGACAAGUCACUCUGAUCCAGCACGAUUAUCCUAUGCACAUGUUUUUUAAAGAACAAAAAAGGAAGUUUCGAGUUGGUAUGUGUGUUUUUUAAAGACACAAACCACAUCCUCUUUCUAUUCAAUUAAAUUCAAGGGAAAGGAAUUUUGGUCUUUAUAAUCAAGGGCGAUUAUAACCAACAGUGUGUCAUGGAAAUGCAAAAUGACUACAGAGCAAUUGACAGCAGCAUCUUCUGUAUUCUCUCCAUAUUAAACCUGUUCUUUUUUUUUUUUUGAGACGGAGUCUUGCUCUUAUCCCCCAGGUGGAGUGCAAUGGCGCGACCUCGGCUCACUGCAACCUCUGCCUUCCGGGUUUAAGCGAUUGUCCUGCCUCAGCCUCCUGAGUAGCUGGGAUUACAGGUGCCUGCCACCAUGCCCGGCUAAUUUUUGUAUUUUUAGUAGAGACGGGGUUUCACCAUGUUGGCCAGGCUGGUCUCGAACUCCUGACCUCAGGUGAUCUGCCCGCCUCGGCCUCCCAAAGUGCUGGGAUUACAAGUAUGAGCCACCGUGCCUGGCCUAAAACUGUUCUUAUGCUGACUCUAUCACUUAUUGAAUCAAAGUUGGCAUUAAUUUCACUUUAUAGUUUAAUUAACUAUAAACACUAACAUUUUAAAAAUUAAGCAACUUUGUCUAAAUUGGAGUCUUUGUCAUUAAUGUGUAUUUAGACACUGGUAAAUGUUUUUAAGUCUGCUUCUGUUGUCUAUAAACAUGACUUUUGAUCUACAAACAUCUGAUAUUUCAUUACCUGGAUGAUUCGGACCAACCUAGUCGCUUCCAAAAACAGGAUUUUAGUUCAUCUUGAUGAAAUAUAAGAGGAAGGAAAAAACAACAUGAUUAAUUUCUAGGUCAAAGGGUGCCAGUAUUCAUAUUAGUGCUCCCUCUAAUUUAGAGUAGACUGUUUUACCUACAAUGGUUGUUAUAUUCUGCCAGAUAGACUCUUUCUAAAAACACAAUUAAUGGGCUUCCCCUCCUAACAUUCUAUAGUUUUCUGCCACAGCAAUGGGCGCUAAUGACACUAAUUCACAAAGUCCCUGUAUUAUCUUCUCAGUGAAAUCAAUACUAUUAAUAGCUAAAUGCCUACACGUUCUGGGCCCUGUGCAGUCAGGGUUCUGGAGGAAACAGAAUGUACCCACGGCUGGUUCAAAUAAAGAUCCUUAGUGAAGUGACUACAUACAGAGGUUUAUUUAGAGUUAAGGGAACAAACAAGGAAUGUCAAGGCAUCCAGUGAUUAGCAGCAGUGGGAAGCCUAAGUCUGAAGGAACUGAGUGUUGGAGAUGAGAGGUCAGUUACUAGACCUUAAUGAGAGCUGGAAUUGGGAAGAAUGGACUGCCUACAGAAGCCGCACUUGUGGAGAGACACCACUUCUACCAGGCACAAGGUGCUGAAGUAAGCAGUGAGGCAAAGUAAUACCCCAAAUUCUCUCUAGCCCCACUAAUCUUCUGCUGGGGCCUGUCAUUGGCAAACAGGAAGCCCAGGAGAUGCAGUCCACUAGGGUCAGCAUUCUGGGGCACAAAGCAGGGCAGAGAUGGGGAGAAUGAGAAGGAAAUCAGGAAGAGGUGAAAGGAAUACCAGAUGAUCUGAAAGAGUUAAAGUCUCUUACUUUCCUGAGUAGGAAGAACUUAAAUAUGGGAGAGCGUCAUUGUAAAGGGCAUAUCAGAAGCCUUCAAAAUCUAUCAAAAUAGUUUUAAAAUUAAGGUUAAUUUAUAAUUUUCACAUUACUUGUAGACUCCACUUAAAUUCCAUAAAAUAUGAUUUAUUACUGGAUUUUGAAGCAUCUAUGUGAGCUAAAUUUAAAACUCUUUGGAAGACGUUGGACAAUUAGAAG
This 3160-nucleotide long non-coding RNA is filed under the name Homo sapiens (human). Its description in RNAcentral is "HSALNT0390832". The record is from RNAcentral. Lineage: Eukaryota; Metazoa; Chordata; Mammalia; Primates; Hominidae.